GAAGCAAGCCGGGCAAUCGCUUUGAUUGAAAAAUCUAAGAGGAAAGUCCGAACACCGAAGGGCAGCGAGCCGGAUAACGUCCGGGCAUUGGGUUUGGCAACGAAUCGGAUGACGACAAGUGCAACAGAGAACAGACCAGCCAUUUCGAUUUUGGAUUUUGGAUUUCCGAUUGCGGAUUUCAAAACUAUUUCGGAGUCGGUGAUGGGUGAAACGGUGCGGUUCGCAAGAACUUAAAGUAAGAGCGCACCAGCGCGUUUGGUAACAAAUGCGGCUGGGUAAACUCCUCGCGGUGCAAGACCAAAUAGAAAAACGCUUUCGCGGGUUGCCCGCCUGCCUAGUCUGAAGCAAUUCGGGCGGCGUUUUCGGGUAGGUCGCUUGAGCGAUUCGGUAACGAAUCGCCUAGAUGAAUGAUUGCCGUUCGCUUUUUUUAGAGUGAACACAAAAUUCGGCUUACAGGCUUGUUUCGUUU
Molecule: RNase P RNA, 469 nt
Filed under: Pyrinomonadaceae bacterium
Lineage: Bacteria; Pseudomonadati; Acidobacteriota; Blastocatellia; Blastocatellales; Pyrinomonadaceae
Description: RNase P RNA component class A
Rfam family: Bacterial RNase P class A
About the family: Ribonuclease P (RNase P) is a ubiquitous endoribonuclease, found in archaea, bacteria and eukarya as well as chloroplasts and mitochondria. Its best characterised activity is the generation of mature 5'-ends of tRNAs by cleaving the 5'-leader elements of precursor-tRNAs. Cellular RNase Ps are ribonucleoproteins.
Source: RNAcentral